UCCAGAGAUGGAUUGGUGCCUUCGGGAACUCUGAGACAGGUGCUGCAUGGCUGUCGUCAGCUCGUGUUGUGAAAUGUUGGGUUAAGUCCCGCAACGAGCGCAACCCUUAUCCUUUGUUGCCAGCGGUUAGGCCGGGAACUCAAAGGAGACUGCCAGUGAUAAACUGGAGGAAGGUGGGGAUGACGUCAAGUCAUCAUGGCCCUUACGAGUAGGGCUACACACGUGCUACAAUGGCGCAUACAAAGAGAAGCGACCUCGCGAGAGCAAGCGGACCUCAUAAAGUGCGUCGUAGUCCGGAUUGGAGUCUGCAACUCGACUCCAUGAAGUCGGAAUCGCUAGUAAUCGUAGAUCAGAAUGCUACGGUGAAUACGUUCCCGGGCCUUGUACACACCGCCCGUCACACCAUGGGAGUGGGUUGCAAAAGAAGUAGGUAGCUUAACCUUCGGGAGGGCGCUUACCACUUUGUGAUUCAUGACUGGGGUGAAGUCGUAACAAGGUAACCGUAGGGGAACCUGCGGUUGGAUCACCUCCUUA
This 534-nucleotide ribosomal RNA is filed under the name Enterobacter asburiae. RNAcentral describes it as "bacterial SSU rRNA". It matches the Rfam family "Bacterial small subunit ribosomal RNA", at positions 999 to 1533 of the family's 1533-position model. Lineage: Bacteria; Pseudomonadati; Pseudomonadota; Gammaproteobacteria; Enterobacterales; Enterobacteriaceae. The record is from RNAcentral. RNAcentral also lists the same sequence under 2 other names.